GGAAUCUGUUUUUAUAUUUUGAAAAUUCAACCAUUAUAUUUUUAUAAUUUAAAAUGUUAUCUUUUGAAAGACCUGCUCUGUACGUGUGUUUAGUUGGUGAGCGGUUUGGGUUCUUUUGUCGUCGGUUGUCUUUGGGAGCUGGGUUCUUCUCUUUGGAGUUAGACAACUCUGGGGAUGUUACCGACGCUGCAGCAGCAUCCAGUCUAUCCAUAGCCUAGUUGCCAAGAGCUUGUCUCUCUCAUUCCUCGUAGAGUUUCUGAGAACUUUGGUUUGUGCUUGGCUGUGUAAAGAUCCUUGAUGAUGAACAAUGGUUGAGGUGCUCUCUGGCUGUGCUUAAGUUUUCCCGGAUAUGUUUGUGCCAGGCGGAGAAACUCUUCUUUUGCGCAUUAGAUUUGACCGUUUUUGUCCAGAACGUAUUGUGCGAGGAACGACAAUGUAGGUGGCAGUGUCUGUUUCUUGUUUCCUUUUUGUUUGUGAAUCCCCACAGGUCGACCCAUCUAUACCUAGGAUUCUUUAGUCUGGAUUUUAGGCCUAGAUUUUGUAAAGGCUUUGUUAGGAUUAUGGGUUUGCUGGGCUUUUGUUUUGCUGCUUUCCAGGUUUCUUGUAUGUCUGGAUGCAUUAGGAAAAGCUCCAUUUUUUAACGAAAAAUUUAUCUUCGGAUGAAAAAAAACAUUUGUUUUUAACUAGAUUGUCACUCCAAAGGCUCCAAAGCCUUCUGGGUUCCUGGUGGAAUAUGUUCCUUCUCUUUAUCUACCCAUUUUCAAUUUCUUUUUAUAAAAAUAACAGCAGCGAAAGCCGAAAGUGUAACCGUAUCAAUCCACUUCAGAAGGCAUAAGUCCAAAAGAUGGAUCGGUUGGGGCUAGAAUCAAAACCCCAGAAUUUAUGCUAAAGCGAACCGACAUAUCAACCAUCAAUUCUCCUACAUAUACCCAUUCUUGCAGGACAGAGGCCUAGAGAAGUGCCAAGCAAAAAAGGUUGCUGAGAGAAGAGAGAGAUAUGGGUUGGUUAUGGCCAGAGAGAAGGGGAUGGAAGCAAGGAUGGACAGAGAAGACUCUAGCCUCUGUCUCACCACCUCCUUUUCCCUUGCUUGCCAUUUUCUUGAUAAUUUUCCUCCUCCUGUUCGUUUCAUCCUAUUUUAACGUCAAGGACCAGAUGCAGCAUACGCACACUAUGGCAGGAUUCGUCGAAGCUGGGACUUGCCUUGGGGCAUGGUGGCGUUGGUGGUGGUGCUUUUGGUGAUGGUCUCUUACCAAUCAUCCUUUCGGUCUGUGUGGUCUCCGAUUGUAUGGAGGUCUGCUUGGUGACAAGUUCUUCAUAUUAUCAUGUACAGUUUUUUGGGUAUUCAAAAGAGAAUCACAACGUUAGUCGUUCCUUUUUGAUGGAUUACAGUACUUGAGAAGUUCAUGGCCCGGUGAUUGUGUUAUUUCUGUACUCAGUAGCAUUUUAGUAAUCUGAAACCGUCUAAAUA
This is a long non-coding RNA of Hevea brasiliensis (rubber tree), 1468 nucleotides long. RefSeq lists it as uncharacterized. The transcript is spliced from 2 exons. NCBI's taxonomy places the organism in Eukaryota, Viridiplantae, Streptophyta, Magnoliopsida, Malpighiales, Euphorbiaceae. The record is from RefSeq and is a predicted model, not a curated record.